GACGAACGCUGGCGGCGUGCUUAACACAUGCAAGUCGAACGGAAAGGCCCUGCUUUUGUGGGGUGCUCGAGUGGCGAACGGGUGAGUAACACGUGAGUAACCUGCCCUUGACUUUGGGAUAACUUCAGGAAACUGGGGCUAAUACCGGAUAGGAGCUCCUGCUGCAUGGUGGGGGUUGGAAAGUUUCGGCGGUUGGGGAUGGACUCGCGGCUUAUCUGCUUGUUGGUGGGGUAGUGGCUUACCAAGGCUUUGACGGGUAGCCGGCCUGAGAGGGUGACCGGCCACAUUGGGACUGAGAUACGGCCCAGACUCCUACGGGAGGCAGCAGUGGGGAAUAUUGCACAAUGGGCGGAAGCCUGAUGCAGCAACGCCGCGUGCGGGAUGACGGCCUUCGGGUUAUAAACCGCUUUCGCCUGUGACGAAGCGUGAGUGACGGUAAUGGGUAGAGAAGCACCGGCUAACUACGUG
RNAcentral lists this ribosomal RNA (468 nucleotides) under uncultured bacterium. RNAcentral's name for it is "partial 16S ribosomal RNA". It matches the Rfam family "Bacterial small subunit ribosomal RNA", at positions 28 to 507 of the family's 1533-position model. The record is from RNAcentral.